GUCCUAGCUGUAAACGGUGCAUAUUUGCUGUAAAAGGAAUCGACCCCUUUUGUGGCGAAGCUAACGCGAUAAAUAUGCCGCCUGGGAAGUACGGUCGCAAGAUUAAAACUCAAAGAAAUUGACGGGGGCCUGCACAAGCGGUGGAGUAUGUGGCUUAAUUCGAUACAACGCGAAGAACCUUACCUGGCCUUGACAUGCACAUAGUAGAAGGGUGAAAGCCUGACGAGGUAGCAAUACCAGUGUGCACAGGUGCUGCAUGGCUGUCGU
Molecule: ribosomal RNA, 267 nt
Filed under: uncultured bacterium
Lineage: Bacteria
Description: partial 16S ribosomal RNA
Rfam family: Bacterial small subunit ribosomal RNA
Source: RNAcentral